Molecule: ribosomal RNA, 623 nt
Filed under: Promicromonospora sp. 372-2
Lineage: Bacteria; Bacillati; Actinomycetota; Actinomycetes; Micrococcales; Promicromonosporaceae
Description: bacterial SSU rRNA
Rfam family: Bacterial small subunit ribosomal RNA
Source: RNAcentral
UGUGCCGCAGCUAACGCAUUAAGUGCCCCGCCUGGGGAGUACGGCCGCAAGGCUAAAACUCAAAGGAAUUGACGGGGGCCCGCACAAGCGGCGGAGCAUGCGGAUUAAUUCGAUGCAACGCGAAGAACCUUACCAAGGCUUGACAUGUACGAGAAAGCCCCAGAGAUGGGGUUCUCUUUGGACACUCGUACACAGGUGGUGCAUGGUUGUCGUCAGCUCGUGUCGUGAGAUGUUGGGUUAAGUCCCGCAACGAGCGCAACCCUUAUCCUAUGUUGCCAGCGGGUUAUGCCGGGGACUCAUGGGAGACUGCCGGGGUCAACUCGGAGGAAGGUGGGGAUGACGUCAAAUCAUCAUGCCCCUUAUGUCUUGGGCUUCACGCAUGCUACAAUGGCCGGUACAGAGGGCUGCGAUACCGUGAGGUGGAGCGAAUCCCAAAAAGCCGGUCUCAGUUCGGAUCGGGGUCUGCAACUCGACCCCGUGAAGUCGGAGUCGCUAGUAAUCGCAGAUCAGCAACGCUGCGGUGAAUACGUUCCCGGGCCUUGUACACACCGCCCGUCAAGUCACGAAAGUUGGUAACACCCGAAGCUCACGGCCCAACCCCUUGUGGGAGGGAGUGGUCGAAG